UGGGGAAUUUUGGACAAUGGGCGAAAGCCUGAUCCAGCAAUGCCGCGUGUGUGAAGAAGGCCUUCGGGUUGUAAAGCACUUUUGUCCGGAAAGAAAUCCUUGGCUCUAAUACAGUCGGGGGAUGACGGUACCGGAAGAAUAAGCACCGGCUAACUACGUGCCAGCAGCCGCGGUAAUACGUAGGGUGCAAGCGUUAAUCGGAAUUACUGGGCGUAAAGCGUGCGCAGGCGGUUUGCUAAGACCGAUGUGAAAUCCCCGGGCUCAACCUGGGAACUGCAUUGGUGACUGGCAGGCUAGAGUAUGGCAGAGGGGGGUAGAAUUCCACGUGUAGCAGUGAAAUGCGUAGAGAUGUGGAGGAAUACCGAUGGCGAAGGCAGCCCCCUGGGCCAAUACUGACGCUCAUGCACGAAAGCGUGGGGAGCAAACAGGAUUAGAUACCCUGGUAGUCCACGCCCUAAAACGAUGUCAACUAGUUGUUGGGGAUUCAUUUCCUUAGUAACGUAGCUAACGCGUGAAGUUGACCGCCUGGGGAGUACGGUCGCAAGAUUAAAAGUCAAAUGAAUUGACGGGGUCAUAGCUGUUUCCU
This 586-nucleotide ribosomal RNA is filed under the name uncultured bacterium. Its description in RNAcentral is "partial 16S ribosomal RNA". It matches the Rfam family "Bacterial small subunit ribosomal RNA", at positions 355 to 1375 of the family's 1533-position model. The record is from RNAcentral.